Molecule: ribosomal RNA, 487 nt
Filed under: uncultured bacterium
Lineage: Bacteria
Description: partial 16S ribosomal RNA
Rfam family: Bacterial small subunit ribosomal RNA
Source: RNAcentral
GACGAACGCUGGCGGCGUGCUUAACACAUGCCAGUCGAACGGAAAGGCCCCCAUCUUGGUGGGGGUGCUCGAGUGGCGAACGGGUGAGUAACACGUGGGUGAUCUGCCCUGUACUUCGGGAUAAGCUUGGGAAACUGGGUCUAAUACCGGAUAGGACCAUGGUUUAGUGUCUCAUGGUGGAAAGAUUAUUGUUUUGGUGCAGGAUGAGCUCGCGGCCUAUCAGCUUGUUGGUGGGGUAAUGGCCUACCAAGGCGUCGACGGGUAGCCGGCCUGAGAGGGUGGACGGCCACAUUGGGACUGAGAUACGGCCCAGACUCCUACGGGAGGCAGCAGUGGGGAAUAUUGCACAAUGGGCGCAAGCCUGAUGCAGCGACGCCGCGUGGGGGAUGACGGCCUUCGGGUGGUAAACUCCUUUCGUUAGGGACGAAGCCACGCUUUUGGGGUGUGGUGACGGUACCUUUGUGAAGAAGCACCGGCUAACUACGUG